This is a long non-coding RNA of Pungitius pungitius (ninespine stickleback), 580 nucleotides long. RefSeq lists it as uncharacterized. NCBI's taxonomy places the organism in Eukaryota, Metazoa, Chordata, Actinopteri, Perciformes, Gasterosteidae. The transcript has 3 exons. The record is from RefSeq and is a predicted model, not a curated record.
GGGAAGAUGGCAUGACUUCUGCCAGAAGGUGCAGUUUUUUGGUGUAUGGAAAAAGGCGCUGAAACCCCCAAUCGGAAUGGACAAAGCUGAACAGGCUCUUGAGAUCCACGUGUGCUGCCAUUACUGUUCCCCUCCACGUCUGCUCCUCCAAAGAGGGUACGAGAUGCGAAUGAGGCUCUGGUACAUGUCCUCGAGGAAACAGAAGACCCCAAUUCCUACUUAAAGAAACGCCCUCUCUCCUGCCCAGUCCUGAUAGUCAGCUCGUCCAACUGCCUCCUAGUGGUAGGAGAUGUGCCAAUAACCACCUUUCCAAAAGACGAGCUUACAGAGAGUGCUUUAUACCUUAUGGCCUACGAUUACACCCUACACCUGACUUAUCCAAAGUGUGUAGCCACUCUGCUUUCAGUCAUACAGACGGAGGUCCUCUUAGACAAAAUCCAUGAGAGAGAUCUCACGUCUUCUUACAAGAAGAGCAUGGCUGAGUGGAAAGGUUUUAUUGGCCAAUAAAACCAUUGCAAAGCACAGAUUUGGUUCAUGUAUUGAGGGGUACUUUGGUCAGAUGUUUUGAUCUAUCCUCAAC